Molecule: ribosomal RNA, 253 nt
Filed under: uncultured bacterium
Lineage: Bacteria
Description: partial 16S ribosomal RNA
Rfam family: Bacterial small subunit ribosomal RNA
Source: RNAcentral
UACGUAUGUCCCGAGCGUUAUCCGGAUUUAUUGGGCGUAAAGCGAGCGCAGACGGUUUAUUAAGUCUGAUGUGAAAGCCCGGAGCUCAACUCCGGAAUGGCAUUGGAAACUGGUUAACUUGAGUGCAGUAGAGGUAAGUGGAACUCCAUGUGUAGCGGUGGAAUGCGUAGAUAUAUGGAAGAAUACCAGUGGCGAAGGCGGCUUACUGGACUGCAACUGACGUUGAGGCUCGAAAGUGUGGGUAGCAAACAGG